RNAcentral lists this transfer RNA (70 nucleotides) under Camelus bactrianus (Bactrian camel). It matches the Rfam family "tRNA". Rfam says of the family: Transfer RNA (tRNA) molecules are approximately 80 nucleotides in length. Their secondary structure includes four short double-helical elements and three loops (D, anti-codon, and T loops). Lineage: Eukaryota; Metazoa; Chordata; Mammalia; Artiodactyla; Camelidae. RNAcentral also lists the same sequence under 2 other names. The record is from Rfam by way of RNAcentral.
GGGUAUAUAGCUCAAUGGUAGAGUGUGUGCUUAGCAUGCAUGGUCCUGGGUUCAAUCCCCAGUACCUCUG